UACAGAGGUCUCAAGCGUUGUUCGGAUUCAUUGGGCGUAAAGGGUGCGUAGGCGGCGCGGUAAGUCGGGUGUGAAAUCUCGGAGCUUAACUCCGAAACUGCAUUCGAUACUGCCGUGCCUGAGGACUGGAGAGGAGACUGGAAUUCAUGGUGUAGCAGUGAAAUGCGUAGAGAUCAUGAGGAAGACCAGUGGCGAAGGCGGGUCUCUGGACAGUUCCUGACACUGAGACACGAAGGCCAGGGGAGCAAACGGG
Molecule: ribosomal RNA, 253 nt
Filed under: uncultured bacterium
Lineage: Bacteria
Description: partial 16S ribosomal RNA
Rfam family: Bacterial small subunit ribosomal RNA
Source: RNAcentral